GUUAAGGACUUAUGGUACCGCGGCGAAACUGAGAGCCCCUUGUGAAUGUACACGCAAGGUUCUGCUGCUUGGCGCAUACCGAUAUCGAAGUCUCUAGUCAUGAUUGUUAUAGAAUUACACUUGUGUGUUAUCUUCCGUGGAUAUCUUCCUUGAAAAGAUUUCUAUGUUGUUUGUCAUGUGAUCAAGCAACAUCUAUCAUCUCUGUUGGAUCAAAAGGGCAUACCCCUUUCAUGUGUGGUCUCUUUUCCUUGACUUUGAUGGUGACUUCACACAUACACGUUCCCUUUGCAUCCUUUGUGUAAAGGUGAAGCCUUGGAGCUUUUUAGUGUUGGAAAGCAGCUAAUUAGCUCUCAAAAUGCAGAUUGAUUUUCCCUGCUGCUGAGAUGCAGGAGUUUUUUCAUUCACUCUCUUAUUAAUCCCUAUAUUCCUUAACCAAGUUGAUAAUUCAUCUCGCAUGAAGAAACGGAUGAACAACCUGACCAAAUAGAUUUCUACCCAAGUGCAUGAUCUCUUGUUAAUUAAAGUGAACUCUCAACCCUUGUCUUACCGAUGGUACUGAGAGGACUUGCUCAAUGUCAAAGGUAGUUCAACAAGUUGGUUUUACUAACUUGUAACUGCUUUGUGAACAAAGGUUGAGUUUAGAAAUCGUCUUAUCGAGUUGUCUAAACUCACUUUAGUUCAGCCUAUCCUGAAGAAAAACUUGGUGAAGAUCAAGUGAAGGAUAUGAACAUAUGCGCAGAUCUUGUGCCAUAUUGGUUUAGAUUAUGAGCAUAUGCAUCUUAACUUUACCUUGUUGGCCGAGGUAUUUUUGCCAUCCUCAGCUAACUGUUAACAGCCUAACCACAACUCUAGUCAUGCCUUGAUCGCCUCGUGUGUGCUUUUCCAGCAUGUGUGAUCAAGUCGAGCCAUGCCUAGUGCUUGAUAAAAUGGACUGGUUGCAAAGCCCGCAUCUAUAGAUCCCUUCGCUAGUGAUUUUUCUAGUCUCUAUCAUUUUUCUUGGACUUGGAUUUUCUGGCUGGCCAUGGGUCAACUGUGAUGUUAUUCGACAUUCACACCCGCCUCGUGUGCUGUGAACUUACCGUGACCCCUUGUUGGUAAACUUCUUUCUGUGUGUUUUACCCAAGACGUUGCAUCUGGUUCCGUUUGGGUAAAGUCGCAUAUCUACCGCUCGCCCAACAGACUCAAAUAGUACAGUGUCAUCAGAAAAAGCAAACUGCACAUGGAACCUUAUGUGUUCCUCUGGCAGACAUCGUCUCUAUUGGUGGACAUUUCUAAAUUAGCUUAGGGCAAUGCAUGUUAUGUCCACUAGAGAAACCAUAUUCUGAGACACUCGACUUUGCUUGGAGCUGUUUUAUGGUUACCGCUGAUAUGGGCAAGAGUUAUAUUAUUCUCUACUCUUAAAAGUCUUUCGUUCUGAAUGUCGGGACGAGAUUCUUUUAAGGGGGGAGGGUUGUAACACCCCAUGUGUUUAUCGUCUGCUCGACCACGAGUGCGGACCUUAACACGUGAUAGCGAUGAAUAAAAUGGACACUAAAUUUUAAUUAUCUCGCAAAGGUUCGAGUUUGGUGCCAUUUUCAUUUCGAUAAUCUAUGUAAUUAAAAGGGGUUCACAGGUUUUGUCGUUAUUUAACAAUUAAGCAGACCGAGGUAAUUAGAACCGAACCGAGUAAAAUGCUUAAUUCAGUUUUGAAUCAGAUUUGAAGUAUGCUGAAAAUAAUAUCAACUAGCUGUUUUUGGGUCCUCAUAACUUUUGAUCUAUAAACAGUUUGAAGGUGGACAUUAUAACAAGGUUGUAGAGCUAUACUAGGGAUACAAAUUUGCUUAGGCAACCUGCCCGUAAAACCAUGAGUAACUGGGUGUAAAACUGGUCCAAAGAGAGGCUGACAGGUUUGGAUUUCAGACUUGGUGUAAUUGUCCAAGUCGGAAUUUUAGUGUGUUUGGCUCAACUUUGGAGCUUUGUGGUGCCUGAUCCAUGUGGUGUUGGGCUAAUAUUGUUGUAUCAAGUUUGAAGACCACAUGUUGGUGUGCAACUUUGGUUAAAGGUCAUAUCCCUAAAGCUACUUGGAACUUGGAGAAAAGAUGGUCCAAAGUGGAGCUGUCAGACUUGUGAUUUCUGGACUUUGAUUCAGAAAUUGAUGUCCAGUUUCAGCAUUUUUAGCAAACUUUAGAUCUCUGUUGUGAUAAACUUUUGAUGUUAUGGCAUGCACUCUCCACAGAGAAGUCUUAGAGGGUAGUGUGGUGAGUAACUUCUAUUAAGUUUCAUCUCCUUGAGCUUGUUUAGAAAGGGGAGAAAAUGCUGCUCCAAGUCGCUAUGUCAGACAUUGGUGUGCUGAACCAAAUUCAGCUAGGCUGAAUUGUUGAGUUCGCUGGUGCUGCCCCAACUUUGGUGCUCGAUAACUUGAGGUCAGUUGAGCUUUUGAUAGUAACCAUUAAAACAAAGUUGAAGACUUUGUAUCAGUGAGCAAUCUUGGUACAGGUCUGUUGUAGGUUGAUGCACUGGUGUUGGAGUAAAUUGUGUUCAAACUCUCUCUGUCAGGUGCGAGUUCAGCUUUUGGUUCAGUUAGCUGAAUCUGAAUUUCAGUAUUUUCAUCCCACUUUGAAGCACCAUAACUUUUGAUCCAUGAAUCUUUGACCUAAGGCUGCUGCAGCAAACAUUUAAAUCUAUGUGUUGGGAACAAUCUUUGUUAACUAAGAUUGGCAUGUAUUGCUUGCACUAGUGAGGAUCAAAGGGGUUUAAAGAUGGGGGGUUCAUUUGGCGCCAGGUGCAGUUUUAGAAUCUGAAACGUGAUUCAGCUUUUCUGAAUUUUUAGAAGACGCAUAUUCCUCUCAGUUUUGGACCCUUCUAAUUAUUAAUUCCUGAACUUUGGUGGAUGAUCAUUACACCAAAUAUAGAGAGUUAUUAUUGGAGAACCAUUCUUAUUAAGCAUUAAUUUCCUGUCAUUACUUAGAACUGGAAGAAAAUCGUCCUCCAAUUCCCUCUGUUUUGCAAGUUGGAAACUGAAACUUGUGUCAGUUUUGGGGGCCAGGGUUCAACAUGCUCGCCUAUGUCUCAGCCAUCCUCAUCCCUUUUGUUUUCUAGAGCAUGUCUAUCUCCAUGGAAUAUCCCCACCGCCUACUCUUCUUCUUAUCCCAAGAGCUACCGUAUUCUUUUUCUCUCAUACGGAUAGAGAUAGCUGGAAGGAGAAUUUCCUCACGUAUCUCUCCCUCUGUUCUGUGCAACCGGCCACGUACUGAAGCUCUUCCUCACGCCACCUCUGCAUCUCAUUCACGUCAUUUAUUUCCCACGUAUUCAGCUCCUGGAAACUUCCUUCACAAGAUGCGUUGAACACCCUGGGAAUCACCCACGCCACCCAUCUCACCACUGCACCACUGCGCGCUUUGUACUGCUGGCCGGGCUGCUCCAGCACCAGGAACGCUCGCUCCUGCUCGUCGACGUUAGAUUUUCCCAGACGCGCGAGCUCCCCAGCAACUCCAACACGUUGCUCGCCUCGCUCAGUCUUCAAGCCAUCGUGUCGCUGGUUCUAGCCAAAGUGGGGCGCGUUCUUUCCUUCGCCAGGCAGCGCCUCCAGUCGUCGUUUCUUUUCCACGGCUGCACGCUCACCGACUCAAGCGCUUGGCCAUGGAGCUCAGUUUCGUGUGUGCCUGUGCUGGGUCGCCGGGUCACGUGCUCAUCCGUUUUGAUGCCGUGCACGCUCCGGCUUGUGGAACUCGCCGGCGUCGUCAGCUACUACUAGACCUCACAGUGGUACUGUGAUGCCGCCGUGGAGACGUCUAUUGUGCCAUCUAUUCUCUGUUGUCUCGCUACACCUGAUUGUCAUCGUCGUCCUUGUAUCGAUCUCGCUACGGCAGCAUCGGCGCUCUCGAUAUCGUCCUGAGUUCACUCCGCGUGCUGCGACGUCUCGCUCACCUCCUCGCCAAGCCGUCGUCGCCCUCGCGGUUAUCGGGUCGAUUCGAUCAGGGUAAGCUGAUCUAUUAUUCCCGCUAGUUAAAUCUGGUAAAACUAGAAAAAUCAUGAUUGUUGUGUUUAGUGAAUUAUAGAUGUCUAGUGCUUUCGUAGGAUUGUGUUGAUGUCUUGCCGCUAAAUAUUUGAUUCUCUUUUUUGUAUCA
This is a long non-coding RNA of Zea mays, 4106 nucleotides long. RefSeq lists it as uncharacterized. NCBI's taxonomy places the organism in Eukaryota, Viridiplantae, Streptophyta, Magnoliopsida, Poales, Poaceae. The record is from RefSeq and is a predicted model, not a curated record. The transcript is spliced from 2 exons.